AUUGAACGCUGGCGGCAGGCCUAACACAUGCAAGUCGAACGGUAACAGGAAGCAGCUUGCUGCUUUGCUGACGAGUGGCGGACGGGUGAGUAAUGUCUGGGAAACUGCCUGAUGGAGGGGGAUAACUACUGGAAACGGUAGCUAAUACCGCAUAACGUCGCAAGACCAAAGAGGGGGACCUUAGGGCCUCUUGCCAUCGGAUGUGCCCAGAUGGGAUUAGCUAGUAGGUGGGGUAACGGCUCACCUAGGCGACGAUCCCUAGCUGGUCUGAGAGGAUGACCAGCCACACUGGAACUGAGACACGGUCCAGACUCCUACGGGAGGCAGCAGUGGGGAAUAUUGCACAAUGGGCGCAAGCCUGAUGCAGCCAUGCCGCGUGUAUGAAGAAGGCCUUCAGGUUGUAAAGUACUUUCAGCGGGGAGGAAGGGAGUAAAGUUAAUACCUUUGCUCAUUGACGUUACCCGCAGAAGAAGCACCGGCUAACUCCGUG
This 490-nucleotide ribosomal RNA is filed under the name uncultured bacterium. RNAcentral's name for it is "partial 16S ribosomal RNA". It matches the Rfam family "Bacterial small subunit ribosomal RNA", at positions 30 to 507 of the family's 1533-position model. The record is from RNAcentral.